AUACGUAGGGGGCGAGCGUUGUCCGGAAUGAUUGGGCGUAAAGGGCGCGUAGGCGGCGCGGUAAGUCUGGAGUGAAAGUCCUGCUUUCAAGGUGGGAAUUGCUUUGGAUACUGCCGCGCUUGAGUGCAGGAGAGGUUAUCGGAAUUCCCGGUGUAGCGGUGAAAUGCGUAGAGAUCGGGAGGAACACCAGUGGCGAAGGCGCGUAACUGGACUGCAAAUGACACUGCGGCGCGAAAGUGUGGGGAGCAAACAGGAUUAGAUACCCUGGUAGUCCACGUUGUAAACGAUGAAUGCUAGGUGGAAGAGGUAACGCCCCCUUGUGCGCCGGAGUCAACACAAUAAGCAUUCCGCCUGGGGAGUACGGCCGCAAGGUUGAAACUCAAAUGAAUUGACGGGG
This 397-nucleotide ribosomal RNA is filed under the name uncultured bacterium. RNAcentral describes it as "partial 16S ribosomal RNA". It matches the Rfam family "Bacterial small subunit ribosomal RNA", at positions 523 to 918 of the family's 1533-position model. The record is from RNAcentral.